RNAcentral lists this unclassified non-coding RNA (377 nucleotides) under uncultured Actinomycetes bacterium. RNAcentral's name for it is "uncultured actinobacterium contains 16S-23S intergenic spacer region". Lineage: Bacteria; Bacillati; Actinomycetota; Actinomycetes. The record is from RNAcentral.
UCCGAGUUGACCCCGGCAGUCUCCUACGAGUCCCCGCCAUUACGCGCUGGCAACAUAGGACAAGGGUUGCGCUUGUUGCGGGACUUAACCCAACAUCUCACGACACGAGCUGACGACAACCAUGCACCACCUGUGUAUCACCCUCGAAGGCGACUACUUUUCGGUAGCUUGCAGAUACAUGUCAAGCCCUGGUAAGGUUCUUCGCGUUGCAUCGAGUUAAGCCACAUGCUCCACCGCUUGUGCGGGCCCCCGUCAAUUCUUUUGAGUUUUAGCCUUGCGGCCGUACUCCCCAGGCGGAACACUUAUCGCGUUGGCUGCGGCACAGACAGAUUCGACUCCGCCCACACCUAGUGUUCAUCGUUUACGGCGUGGACUAC